GAUGAACGCUGGCGGCGUGCCUAAUACAUGCAAGUCGAACGCGCAGCGAAAGGUGCUUGCACCUUUCAAGCGAGUGGCGAACGGGUGAGUAACACGUGGAUAACCUGCCUCAAGGCUGGGGAUAACAUUUGGAAACAGAUGCUAAUACCGAAUAAAACUUAGUAUCGCAUGAUACAAAGUUAAAAGGCGCUACGGCGUCACCUAGAGAUGGAUCCGCGGUGCAUUAGGUAGUUGGUGGGGUAAAGGCUUACCAAGACGAUGAUGCAUAGCCGAGUUGGGAGACUGAUCGGCCACAUUGGGACUGAGACACGGCCCAAACUCCUUCGGGAGGCUGCAGUAGGGAAUCUUCCACAAUGGGCGCAAGCCUGAUGGAGCAACGCCGCGUGUGUGAUGAAGGCUUUCGGGUCGUAAAGCACUGUUGUAUGGGAAGAAAUGCUAAAAUAGGGAAUGAUUUUAGUUUGACGGUACCAUACCAGAAAGGGACGGCUAAAUACGUGCCAGCCGCCGCGGUAA
Molecule: ribosomal RNA, 513 nt
Filed under: uncultured bacterium
Lineage: Bacteria
Description: partial 16S ribosomal RNA
Rfam family: Bacterial small subunit ribosomal RNA
Source: RNAcentral